GAUGAACGCUGGCGGCGUGCCUAAUACAUGCAAGUCGAGCGAACAGACGAGGAGCUUGCUCCUCUGACGUUAGCGGCGGACGGGUGAGUAACAUGUGGAUAACCUACCUAUAAGACUGGGAUAACUUCGGGAAACCGGAGCUAAUACCGGAUAAUAUAUUGAACCGCAGGGUUCAAUAGUGAAAGACGGUUUUGCUGUCACUUAUAGAUGGAUCCGCGCCGGAUUAGCUAGUUGGUAAGGUAACGGCUUACCAAGGCAACGAUGCGUAGCCGACCUGAGAGGGUGAUCGGCCACACUGGAACUGAGACACGGUCCAGACUCCUACGGGAGGCAGAAGUAGGGAAGCUUCCGCAAUGGGCGAAAGCUUGACGGAGCAACGCCGCGUGAGUGAUGAAGGUCUUCGGGUCGUAAAACUCUGUUAUUAGGGAAGAACAAAUGUGUAAGUAACUAUGCACGUCUUGACGGUACCUAAUCAGAAAGCAACGGCUAACUACGUG
This 497-nucleotide ribosomal RNA is filed under the name uncultured bacterium. RNAcentral's name for it is "partial 16S ribosomal RNA". It matches the Rfam family "Bacterial small subunit ribosomal RNA", at positions 28 to 507 of the family's 1533-position model. The record is from RNAcentral.